AUUUUACAUAUACAUAUACAUACGUUCCUCAAACAAAUAACCGACUGACGCAACUACGAGCCACAAUUUUAAAAUAUAAUUACUGAUAAAUUCAGUAUAUAAGCAGCAGGUAUAAAAAAAUUAUUUUUAUUCAGUGUCACGAUAAAAUUAGUGCACAUUUUAUUUCUUCAAGCCAAAUUUUAUCAAAUUUAUCAGAAUGAUGAAAUUAUUGUUGGUGACUUUAAUUGUCGCUUUGGCAAUUGCUUUAACAGAAGCUUUCUUAUUUUGGCCCUGCAGAAAGCAAAACGACGGAUGUAAUCCAUUCUUUGUCCAACUUUGCUGUGCUCCGUACCAUUGCACCGGAAGAAUAACUCCAGGAAUUUGCGUAUAAAAAUAUUGGACCGAUUUAUGUAUUAAAACUACAGUGAAAAAAAAUUGACUUGAAUCGAGA
Long non-coding RNA from Cotesia glomerata, 430 nucleotides. RefSeq lists it as uncharacterized. The transcript is spliced from 2 exons. The record is from RefSeq and is a predicted model, not a curated record. NCBI's taxonomy places the organism in Eukaryota, Metazoa, Arthropoda, Insecta, Hymenoptera, Braconidae.